RNAcentral lists this long non-coding RNA (286 nucleotides) under Sorghum bicolor (sorghum). RNAcentral describes it as "long non-coding RNA (SBIC_LNC001896)". The record is from RNAcentral. Lineage: Eukaryota; Viridiplantae; Streptophyta; Magnoliopsida; Poales; Poaceae.
UCUGCACUGCAUGGCCGCUGCUGCUGCUCCACCACCAGCAGCGCAGUACUCUCGCUCUGUGCCCUUCAAAGUGAAAUCUGUGCAAUCUUGUUUGAAUAUUUAUUUUAUUUAAUUUUUUUAUCUAUUUAUUAUGACUUAUUUUAUUAUUUGAGAUGAGAUACUUUAAUAACAACUUAUUUAUUUUAUAGUUUAUAAAAAAGUUAAAUAAGACAAAUGGACUGAGGUAGUACACAUGUGCCUUGUUUAGUUUCCAAAAAAUUUUGCAAAAUUUUUCACAUUUCCCGUC